AUACCAUGAUGGGGAAAAUUCCUCAAUAGCUCCUUGAAACGUUCCCAUGCAUCAUAUAAUGACUGCCCAUCAAUCUGACAUAAGCUAUUAAUUUCUCCCCUCAAUUU
Small nucleolar RNA from Humulus lupulus (European hop), 107 nucleotides. NCBI's taxonomy places the organism in Eukaryota, Viridiplantae, Streptophyta, Magnoliopsida, Rosales, Cannabaceae. The record is from RefSeq and is a predicted model, not a curated record.